GGAAGGAUCAUUCAAAAUUCCUAAAAAAAUUUGACCCCAGGUGUUGUCCCCUGUGCCUCUCGAGGAGAGCUGCUCGUCCGCCCGUCCGCCGCUCUUCGUUGAGUGGAGGGGGGGCGCUCGCUCGCUUCCUCGGAAAACGGGGGACGCUUUUUUUCUCGGAAAAAGCCAACUUGACUGAACAAAUGUGUAUAAAUCUAUGAAAUCUGAAACAACUUUUAGCAGUGGAUACCUCGGCUACCACAACGAUGAAGAACGCAGCGAAACGCGAUAUUGAUUGCGAAUUGCAGAACUCAGUGAAUCAUCGUAACUUUGAACGCACUUACGGCUGUGGGUGUCCAACCCAUGGCCACUCCUCUUUGAGUAUCGUAACCAAAACCCCAAAACCCAAAUGCUGAGAGUCGCUUUUCUGUGUGUCUCUUGAAGUCGGUGCGAGCCAGUUGUUCGGGUUCCCACGGUUUUUGGGCGCGUGCUGUGAUUCCAAAAAUUACGGUGUUUAUGAACUAAAACCUCACGAGCACAUUUUUUGGGUCGUUGGUGCGCCUCCUCCACCGUUGGGAUUCCUUGAAGUGAGAGCUGGUGACAGCACUCCCUGGCUUUUUGAAGAUUCGCUUGUGCCCCCCUGUAUUAUUGGGUGCAGGGCGAUAUGAAUUUCGGUGCAAGAUCUCAAAUGAGGUGAGACAACCCCCUGAGUUUAAGCAUAUUCGUAAGGGGAGGAAAAGAAACUAAACAGGAUUCCCUUAGUAACGGCGAGUGAAGCGGGAAGAGCUCAACCUGAGAAUCUCAGUUGGUUUCCUUCUGAGAGUUGUGGGUUUUUGAGGCGUGUUCAGUGUGUGGCCCCGGUCUAAAUCUGUUGGAACACAGUGCUCAGAGAGGGUGAGAGCCCCGUCUGUGACUGGGAGUCCGCUGCGUACGAACCGUCCUCCGAGAGUCGGGUUGCUUGGGAAUGCAGCCUUAAAUGGGUGGUAAAUUCCAUCUAAAGCUAAAUACCUGUGGUAGACCGAUAGCGCACAAGUACCGUAAGGGAAAGGUGAAAAGGACUUUGAAAAGAGAGUCAAAAGUACUUGAAACUGCUAAGAGUCAAGGGAUAAGAACCGUUGGAUCGAGUUGCCUUAAGCCUGUGCUGCAGGAAUCUUGUCGGUGCGCGUAGGCGAGUUCUCUCGGGGGCUCGGCCGCCGGCAAGAACGAUGGCGGUGGAGGUGUAUGGGGGCGCGAGCAUAUAUGUCAGGGUCGAUUCGCCGCUGUGAGACGAUGGGCCUUGGGGGAGGUAGAGUCGUGAUCGAGCUUUGGCUCGUGAUCCUUGAAUACCCCAGGGACUCCAGCUCUCGGCGUGGAUCGAGGUCUUGGGCUGGAUCCUGACCAUAUACGGUUCUUAUUCACCCGUCUUGAAACACGGACCAAGGAGUCUAACGUACGCGCAAGUCUUAGGGUGUGAAAACCCGAGGGCGCAAUGAAAGUGAAAGAGUGGCGCUAGCCACUCUUGAGAUGUGAAUCCCCCGCUUUGGGUAGGCAACAUCGCCCGGCUGCGCCAUUUGUGCGUGGUUCGAGGCCGAGCGUGUACGAUAGGACCCGAAAGAUGGUGAACUAUGCCUGGGCAGGGUGAAGCCAGGGGAAACUCUGGUGGAAGCUCGCAGCGAUACUGACGUGCAAAUCGUUCGUCAGACCUGGGUAUAGGGGCGAAAGACUAAUCGAACCAUCUAGUAGCUGGUUCCCUC
This 1712-nucleotide unclassified non-coding RNA is filed under the name uncultured fungus. RNAcentral describes it as "sequence contains 18S rRNA gene, ITS1, 5.8S rRNA gene, ITS2, 28S rRNA gene". The stretch from base 659 to 1712 matches the Rfam family "Eukaryotic large subunit ribosomal RNA", at positions 1 to 961 of the family's 3401-position model. The record is from RNAcentral. Lineage: Eukaryota; Fungi.